UGGGGGAUAUUGCACAAUGGGCGAAAGCCUGAUGCAGCGACGCCGCGUGGGGGAUGAAGGCUUUCGGGUUGUAAACCUCUUUCGCUAUCGAACAAGGCCCGCUUAGGGUGGGUUGAGGGUAGGUGGAGAAGAAGCGCCGGCUAACUACGUGCCAGCAGCCGCGGUAAUACGUAGGGCGCGAGCGUUGUCCGGAAUUAUUGGGCGUAAAGGGCUUGUAGGCGGCUUGUUGCGCCUGCUGUGAAAACGCGGGGCUUAACUUCGCGCGUGCAGUGGGUACGGGCAGGCUUGAGUGUGGUAGGGGUGACUGGAAUUCCAGGUGUAGCGGUGGAAAGCGCAGAUAUCUGGAGGAACACCGAUGGCGAAGGCAGGUCACUGGGCCAUUACUGACGCUGAGGAGCGAAAGCAUGGGUAGCGAACAGG
Molecule: ribosomal RNA, 420 nt
Filed under: bacterium
Lineage: Bacteria
Description: partial 16S ribosomal RNA
Rfam family: Bacterial small subunit ribosomal RNA
Source: RNAcentral